GACGAACGCUGGCGGCGUGCUUAACACAUGCAAGUCGAACGGUAAGGCCCUUCGGGGUACACGAGUGGCGAACGGGUGAGUAACGCGUGGGUGAUCUGCCCUGCACUUCGGGAUAAGCCUGGGAAACUGGGUCUAAUACCGGAUAGGACCACUGCCUGCAUGGGUGGUGGUGGAAAGCUUUUGCGGUGUGGGAUGGGCCCGCGGCCUAUCAGCUUGUUGGUGGGGUGAUGGCCUACCAAGGCGACGACGGGUAGCCGGCCUGAGAGGGUGACCGGCCACACGGGGACUGAGAUACGGCCCAGACGCCUACGGGAGGCAGCAGUGGGGAAUAUUGCACAAUGGGCGCAAGCCUGAUGCAGCGACGCCGCGUGAGGGAUGACGGCCUUCGGGUUGUAAACCUCUUUCAGCACCGACGAAGCGCAAGUGACGGUAGGUGCAGAAGAAGGACCGGCCAACUACGUGCCAGCCGCCGCCGUAA
This 478-nucleotide ribosomal RNA is filed under the name uncultured bacterium. RNAcentral describes it as "partial 16S ribosomal RNA". It matches the Rfam family "Bacterial small subunit ribosomal RNA", at positions 28 to 523 of the family's 1533-position model. The record is from RNAcentral.